This is a non-coding RNA of Maylandia zebra (zebra mbuna), 744 nucleotides long. Lineage: Eukaryota; Metazoa; Chordata; Actinopteri; Cichliformes; Cichlidae. The record is from RefSeq and is a predicted model, not a curated record.
UUCAACAAUCAAGUACCGUCUCUUUGCAUCUGGACAGAAUCUGUCUCUAUACCGUCAUUUUCUUUUGAGCUACGUUUCAGAAUGGUUCGUAGCAAUCUUGUUUUGAUUCGUGACCUGCCAAGAUGGUGCUGCGCUCCCACAAUGCAUUGCGACAUUACGUCAACUCCAAAGCCCUUUGCGUGCAGGAGUGUAUGCGCAUGCGCAUUGCCACGGUGGUUUAAAAAAUAAAGAUAUAAUGAAAAGUAAUUAAUAAAAAUUAAAUAUUUAAACAUUCCCACAAAUGUGCAAUGAACGUGCAAAAACUCUCUUUAGUAGUUGUUGCUGUUUCUUUCUUUCUUCUUUUUUUUUUUUUUUUGAAAAAUAACGACGUCUCUGAGGCGCGAAAUCUGACAGCGAGAGGAACGGCCGGAUACAGGAGACGGGAAGAAACAAGCCGAUUAUGUUCGCGUUAAUUAAGUGGUUGGAAGAUGUAAAAUUCUCAAUUCUGCCAACUGAACAUAUACGAGAUUUUAAUGAGGAUGAAUAAUUAGCCGGCAUGGAGGAAACGGACCUUUAUUUCGUGGAGUGGCGACAAGAAGCCAAGGCGGGUGGCCAGUCUAAGAAGCCUCCAUCAUCAAGCUAGCAGAAAUCCUACCUCUCCUUCUGGCUACAGAGUACUUACCAAGCCCAUGAAAUCGAAUGCAGAUCUUCCUAAUGUGAGAUUUACAUAAAUAUGUCAAAGUCUCAACCUCAUGCUGCCCUCCC